UGACCGCUGGCGGCGUGCCUCAUACAUGCACGUCGAGCGAACAGACGAGGAGCUUGCUCCUCUGACGUUAGCGGCGGACGGGUGAGUAACACGUGGAUAACCUACCUAUAAGACUGGGAUAACUUCGGGAAACCGGAGCUAAUACCGGAUAAUAUAUUGAACCGCAUGGUUCAAUAGUGAAAGACGGUUUUGCUGUCACUUAUAGAUGGAUCCGCGCCGCAUUAGCUAGUUGGUAAGGUAACGGCUUACCAAGGCAACGAUGCGUAGCCGACCUGAGAGGGUGAUCGGCCACACUGGAACUGAGACACGGUCCAGACUCCUACGGGAGGCAGCAGUAGGGAAUCUUCCGCAAUGGGCGAAAGCCUGACGGAGCAACGCCGCGUGAGUGAUGAAGGUCUUCGGAUCGUAAAACUCUGUUAUUAGGGAAGAACAAAUGUGUAAGUAACUAUGCACGUCUUGACGGUACCUAAUCAGAAAGCCACGGCUAACUACGUG
This 495-nucleotide ribosomal RNA is filed under the name uncultured bacterium. RNAcentral's name for it is "partial 16S ribosomal RNA". It matches the Rfam family "Bacterial small subunit ribosomal RNA", at positions 30 to 507 of the family's 1533-position model. The record is from RNAcentral.